AUUGUUUCUCCUUAGUAACCAUCGGCCCCGCCGCGGUUGGGGUACCAGGACAGAGCAGGUACUUGCCGCGGCCCGAGACUCAGGCCGGAUGGGAGAUGACUUCACCAAGCCUGGACGAGCUCCGCCCGGGUUGGACUCAAGGGCGUCCAUCAUCUUGUCUCUACAAAUGGGCAGAACAGCUCUUUGCUGCAAAAUGCUGAACUCUGGGCUCUGGGUGGAGAGGGGUUCCACUAGGAGACGCCUCAGAAAAGAAGGAGAUAUAGAUGGCUCCUUGAAACUUCCCCACAGAGGUAGUCCCCAAGACUACCCAGGUGGUCUUGGGCCCCAAAGAUUUGCUGCUCCCCACAUUAAAACAUUCCCCCUUGCUUUUUAAAAUCAGAUAAUCAUUCUACCCUCCCUGACAACAUUAAGCCUGAAUGAAAUUUCCCCUGAAAAACGUCCAUCUUUAGACAGCUGAGGGUAAAUGAAGUCACAAAGGCCCACACUGAACGAGUGCUACCAGUUGGUGAGGCCGCGGUACUGCAGGACCCCUGGGACCAUCUUCUCGUGACACUCAGGCUUCUCUCACUUCCGUCUCAGCCUCUUCACUUUCGGAACUGGUGUUCAAGUUACUGGAACAGUCGAUCUCAACUGUUUUUCUCUAGCCUUGUGCAUACUUUCGAAAAAUAUUUUUUGUUCUGCAUAUUCUCCAUAGUCAAGGACACUUGGUAGUAUAAAAUUAACACCGGUCCCCACGUCCAACCAGGAUGGCGUCCAGGGAAGUUUUUCACUUCAUUCAAGAAGAGACAGAGCUUUCAGACCAGGAGCAAGCAGAGAUACAAAAAUUGGGUCUUAAGCAAAGAGACUACACUGGAUUCAGCCAGAUGAACACAUUCAGAAGGAGUAUGACUAGAAGGCUCCAACACCCAUGGUCCAUCUGUGUGGCAGUACUGGAGAGAGGAGGACGAUAGACGGAAUUUAAAAAAUUGUCACAAUGUUAACAUUUAAAAUUUCAUCAAGAAUUUUGGGAUGUAAGACCUUCCUCUAAGCCUAGCUCUAACUCAUACCUUCCAAACAGAUCUUUCAUGUUUUCACUUUGAAUUUAUACAACACAGGCAAAGGAAGACAGUGUUAGGUGAAAUUACAAAGACUUGGGUUCUAGUGUGUCCCUUAAUGCAUGGCCACAGGGAGUAAGUGUUCUUUCCUCUCCUUUGUGAAGUCAGUUGGGCAUAGAAAACAAGUGAUUCAGAAGUUAAACGUAAAACUGAAAUGCUCCCAUCUGUUUAAGGAAUAAAAAUACAAAAAUGUUUUCUGGAA
Molecule: long non-coding RNA, 1296 nt
Organism: Phyllostomus hastatus (greater spear-nosed bat)
Lineage: Eukaryota; Metazoa; Chordata; Mammalia; Chiroptera; Phyllostomidae
Exons: 3
Source: RefSeq, a predicted model, not a curated record